GAUGAACGCUGGCGGCGUGCCUAAUACAUGCAAGUCGAGCGAACGGACGAGAAGCUUGCUUCUCUGAUGUUAGCGGCGGACGGGUGAGUAUCACGUGGAUAACCUACCUAUAAGACUGGGAUAACUUCGGGAAAGCGGAGCUAAUACCGGAUAAGAUUUUGAACCGCAUGGUUCAAAAGUGAAAGACGGUCGUGCUGGGACUGAUAGAGGGAUCCGCGCUGAAUUAGCUACUUGGUAAGGUAACGGCUUACCAAGGCAACGAUGCAUAGACGACCUGAGAGGGUGAUCCGCCACACUGUGCGUGAGACACUGUCCCCCCUCCUACGUCACGCCGCAGUCGGUCCUCUUCCUCAAUGGGCGACUGCCUGACGUCGCAACGGCGCUUGAGUGCUGAAGCUCUUCCGAUCGUAAAACUCUGUUAUUAUGGAAGUCCAUCUGUGUAAGUAACGGUGCACCUCUUGACGGUACCUAAUCAGAAAGCCACGGCUAACUACGU
RNAcentral lists this ribosomal RNA (496 nucleotides) under uncultured bacterium. RNAcentral describes it as "partial 16S ribosomal RNA". It matches the Rfam family "Bacterial small subunit ribosomal RNA", at positions 28 to 506 of the family's 1533-position model. The record is from RNAcentral.